Molecule: microRNA precursor, 75 nt
Filed under: Dasypus novemcinctus (nine-banded armadillo)
Lineage: Eukaryota; Metazoa; Chordata; Mammalia; Cingulata; Dasypodidae
Description: miRNA (ENSDNOG00000027759.1)
Source: RNAcentral
GACUAACUGUUCUGUUUUGCCUGGGACUGAGGGGUUUCCUGGGACAUGAAACUUUAGUGCUAAAACCGGGCAGUU